GCUCAGGAUGAACGCGGGCGGCGUGCCUAAGGUAUGCAAGUCGAACGAUGUUAAUUUUCUCGCAAGAGAGAAUUAACAUAGUGGCAGACGGCUGAGUAAUGAAUAAGAACUUACCCAUGACUCAGGGAUAGCCUCGCGAAAGCGGGAGUAAUACUUGAUAGUCUGCAUUAUGCGGAAGCAUAGUACAGUAAAGCUACGGCGGUGAUGGAUAGGCUUAUUUCCUAUCAGCUAGUUGGUGAGGUAAUGGCUCACCAAGGCUAUGACGGGUAGGGGACCUGAGAGGGUGAACCCCCAGAAUGGGACUGAGAAACGGCCCAUACUCCUACGGGAGGCAGCAAUUAGGAAUUAUGCGCAAUGGACGAAAGUCUGACGCUGCGACGCCGCGUGGAGGAUGAAGGUUUUCGGAUUGUAAACUCCUUUUAUGUGGGAGCAAGUUCUGAGAGUACCACAUGAAUAAGCACCUUCCAACUACGUGCCAGAAGAAUCGGUGAUGCGUAGGGUGCAAGCGUUAUCCGGAAUUACUGGGCGUAAAGCGAUACGUAGGCGUUCUUUUAAGUUACUUGUCAAAUCCUGCAGCUUAACUGUAGAACUGCAAGUGAUACUGGAAGAAUUUGAGGAUAUCAGGGGAGAGGGGAACAUCUGGUGGAGCGGUGAAAUGCGUUGAUAUCAGAUGGAACACCAACGGCGAAGGCACCUCUCUGGGAUACUCCUGACGCUAAUGUUCGAAAGCUAGGGGCGCAAAACGGAUUAGAUACCCGUGUAGUCCUAGCCCUAAACUAUCCCUGCUAGAUGUUUGCCGCAGGUAUAUAUGUUCUUCGGAACAUAUGUUCCUCGGUGGGUGUCGUAGCUAACGCGUUAAGCAGGGCGCCUGGGGAGUACGAGC
RNAcentral lists this ribosomal RNA (883 nucleotides) under uncultured bacterium. RNAcentral's name for it is "bacterial SSU rRNA". It matches the Rfam family "Bacterial small subunit ribosomal RNA", at positions 22 to 887 of the family's 1533-position model. The record is from RNAcentral.